This is a non-coding RNA of Microcebus murinus (gray mouse lemur), 301 nucleotides long. The record is from RefSeq and is a predicted model, not a curated record. Lineage: Eukaryota; Metazoa; Chordata; Mammalia; Primates; Cheirogaleidae.
GGCUCAACGAUCCUUCUGCUCAGCCUCCCAAAUAUCAGUAGCUGAUCUUCCAGGUUUAAUAGAAGGAGCACAUAUGAACAAAGGAAUGGGCCACAAAUUCCUGAAGCAUAUAGAAAGAACUAGACAACUUCUUUUUGUUGUUGAUAUUGGUGGAUUUCAGCUUUCUUCUCAAACUAAAUACAGAACUGCUUUUGAAACCAUAAUCCUGCUUACAAAAGUAGGUUUUCUGUUAUACUGUGUUCUGUAUCUGGUCUAAUAUGUAGGCAUAAGGGACUAUAUGGAAUGACAUAUUUAGAAUAAA